GACGAACGCUGGCGGCGUGCCUAAUACAUGCAAGUAGAACGCACAGUUUAUACCGUAGCUUGCUACACCAUAGACUGUGAGUUGCGAACGGGUGAGUAACGCGUAGGUAACCUGCCUGGUAGCGGGGGAUAACUAUUGGAAACGAUAGCUAAUACCGCAUAAUAUUAAUUAUUGCAUGAUAAUUAAUUGAAAGGUGCAAUUGCACCACUACCAGAUGGACCUGCGUUGUAUUAGCUAGUAGGUGAGGUAACGGCUCACCUAGGCGACGAUACAUAGCCGACCUGAGAGGGUGAUCGGCCACACUGGGACUGAGACACGGCCCAGACUCCUACGGGAGGCAGCAGUAGGGAAUCUUCGGCAAUGGACGAAAGUCUUACCGAGCAACGCCGCGUGAGUGAAGAAGGUUUUCGGAUCGUAAAGCUCUGUUGUAAGAGAAGAACGGGUGUGAGAGUGGAAAGUUCACACUGUGACGGUAUCUUACCAGAAAGGGACGGCUAACUACGUG
RNAcentral lists this ribosomal RNA (505 nucleotides) under uncultured bacterium. Its description in RNAcentral is "partial 16S ribosomal RNA". It matches the Rfam family "Bacterial small subunit ribosomal RNA", at positions 28 to 507 of the family's 1533-position model. The record is from RNAcentral.